GUACAUAGGGACUUUCUUCUCUAGAAAUCCAGUUGUUAAUCAUUUACCAGCACAUCCCUGGAUAAACAGGAGUCAGCUAAGUGGAAGGGGAGAAGGAGGACAAGAAAAGAGAAGUCCGGCAGUGUGGACAGCAUGUGUGAAGGCCCAGAGGACCACCUGCCAGGCACAGAUCCAGAAAGAAACCAGGACCAGCCCUGUCCACAAGGAGCUGUCUGCAGAGGAGACAGGAUGCCUGUAUAGAAAAUAGGGCUGCAGCAUCAGACGGCUGCUCCCCACCCAGGAUGGAAGGACAAACAGAGAGGAUGCAUCAGGGAAGGGAGAGGCAGAGAAAGCUGACCAGGGUAGGUAGAGAAGGCUUCCCAGGAAAGCGGCAUUCCCAGCAAGGGAUGUUGAUCAGACCUGGGCACUCUGCAGUGAUGAUCAGCAGCUCAAGAGCAAGGGUGGCUCCUGACCGUGAGGGGUCAGCACCAGGCCCACAAGCCUGUCUGUUGCACCAGUGCCCAGGAGGGGCUGUGGACUGCGGACCUGUUUUCUCUGGCUCGACCUCACCCAGAACCAGCGGCAGAAAGGCCAGUUAUGCAACCAUCCUCACCACAGCCUGCCAGCCUCAGAGGCU
Molecule: long non-coding RNA, 616 nt
Filed under: Pan troglodytes (chimpanzee)
Lineage: Eukaryota; Metazoa; Chordata; Mammalia; Primates; Hominidae
Description: long non-coding RNA NONPTRT001802
Source: RNAcentral